RNAcentral lists this unclassified non-coding RNA (379 nucleotides) under uncultured bacterium. RNAcentral's name for it is "contains 16S-23S intergenic spacer region". The record is from RNAcentral.
UCCGGUUUAACACCGGCAGUCUCCACAGAGUGGCCAACUUAAUGUUGCCAACUACGGACAAGGGUUGCGCUCGUUGCGGGACUUAACCCAACAUCUUACGACACGAGCUGACGACAGCCAUGCAGCACCUGUGCUGGCGCUCCGAAGAGGGGCCGAUGUUUCCACCGGCUUUCACCAGCAUGUCAAGCCCAGGUAAGGUUCUUCGCGUCGCCUCGAAUUAAGCAACAUGCUCCGCCGCUUGUGCGGGCCCCCGUCAAUUCCUUUGAGUUUUAGCCUUGCGGCCGUACUCCCCAGGCGGGGCACUUAAUGCGUUAGCUACGGCACGGAUCCCGUUGAUGAGGACCCACACCUAGUGCCCAACGUUUACGGCGUGGACUAC